This 253-nucleotide ribosomal RNA is filed under the name uncultured bacterium. RNAcentral describes it as "partial 16S ribosomal RNA". It matches the Rfam family "Bacterial small subunit ribosomal RNA", at positions 524 to 776 of the family's 1533-position model. The record is from RNAcentral.
GACAGAGGGUGCAAGCGUUGUUCGGAAUUAUUGGGCGUAAAGGGCGCGUAGGCGGCCAGGCAAGUCGGAUGUGAAAUCUCUGGGCUCAACCCAGAAAGUGCAUCCGAAACUGCUUAGCUUGAGUCCCGGAGAGGGUGGUGGAAUUCCCAGUGUAGAGGUGAAAUUCGUAGAUAUUGGGAGGAACACCGGUGGCGAAGGCGACCACCUGGACGGAGACUGACGCUGAGGCGCGAAAGCGUGGGGAGCAAACAGG